RNAcentral lists this ribosomal RNA (310 nucleotides) under Eurythoe sp. AMW4444. RNAcentral's name for it is "eukaryotic LSU rRNA". It matches the Rfam family "Eukaryotic large subunit ribosomal RNA", at positions 42 to 341 of the family's 3401-position model. The record is from RNAcentral. Lineage: Eukaryota; Metazoa; Annelida; Polychaeta; Eunicida; Amphinomidae.
AUCACUAAGCGGAGGAAAAGAAACUAACCAGGAUUCCCCUAGUAACGGCGAGUGAAGCGGGAAGAGCCCAGCACCGAAUCCCUCACCCUUGCGGUGGCGGGAACUGUGGUGUUCAGGACAUGCCUAUGAGGUUGCGCACGGGUGUCCAAGUCCUCCUGAUCGGGGCCUUUACCCAGGGUGGGUGUCAGGCCUUUACUGGCACGCGGUCGCAGUCCCUAAGAGCGUCCUAGGAGUCGGGUUGUUUGAGAAUGCAGCCCAAAGAGGGUGGUAAACUCCAUCUAAGGCUAAAUACUGACACGAGUCCGAUAGC